CCUACGGGAGGCAGCAGUGAGGAAUAUUGGUCAAUGGACGCAAGUCUGAACCAGCCAUGCCGCGUGCAGGAAGACGGCUCUAUGAGUUGUAAACUGCUUUUGUACGAGAGUAAACGCAGAUACGCGUAUCUUUCUGAAAGUAUCGUACGAAUAAGGAUCGGCUAACUCCGUGCCAGCAGCCGCGGUAAUACGGAGGAUUCAAGCGUUAUCCGGAUUUAUUGGGUUUAAAGGGUGCGUAGUCGGUCGGUUAAGUUAGAGGUGAAAUCCCGAGGCUUAACUGCGGAAUUGCCUUUGAUACUGGUAGGCUAGAGAGUAGUUGAGGUAGGCGGAAUGCAUGGUGUAGCGGUGAAAUGCUUAGAGAUCAUAAAGAACACCGAUUGCGAAGGCAGCUUACUAAGCUACUUCUGACGUUGAGGCACGAAAGCGUGGGGAGCAAACAGGAUUAGAUACCCGAGUAGUC
This 460-nucleotide ribosomal RNA is filed under the name uncultured bacterium. RNAcentral's name for it is "partial 16S ribosomal RNA". It matches the Rfam family "Bacterial small subunit ribosomal RNA", at positions 338 to 795 of the family's 1533-position model. The record is from RNAcentral.